UACGUAGGGUCCGAGCGUUGUCCGGAGUUACUGGGCGUAAAGGGCGCGCAGGCGGCGGUGCUGGCCCGGCGUGAAAGCCCCCGGCUCAACCGGGGAGGGUCGUCGGGGACCGCACCGCUUGAGGGCGGUAGGGGCCGGUGGAAUGCCUGGUGUAGUGGUGAAAUGCGUAGAGAUCCGGAGGAACACCAGUGGCGAAGGCGACACGCUGGGCCGUACCUGACGCUAAAGCGCGACAGCAUGGGGAGCGAACGGG
Molecule: ribosomal RNA, 253 nt
Filed under: uncultured bacterium
Lineage: Bacteria
Description: partial 16S ribosomal RNA
Rfam family: Bacterial small subunit ribosomal RNA
Source: RNAcentral